AGCAGCCGCGGUAAUUCCAGCUCCAAUAGCGUAUAUUAAAGUUGUUGCAGUUAAAAAGACUCGUAGUUGAAUUUCGGGGUUAGUAGAUUGGUCGUACCACUGGUGCGUACUGGUCUCACUGAUUCCUCCUUCCUGAUGAACUGUAAUGCCAUUAAUUUGGUGUUGCAGGGAAACUGGACUGUUACUUUGAAAAAAUUAGAGUGUUUAAAGCAAGCUAACGCUUGAAUACAUUAGCAUGGAAUAAUGAAAUAGGACGUUCGAUCCUAUUUUGUUGGUUUCUGGGAUUGACGUAAUGAUUAAUAGGGAUAGUUGGGGGCAUUAGUAUUCAAUUGUCAGAGGUGAAAUUCUUGGAUUUAUUGAAGACUAACUACUGCGAAAGCAUUUGCCAAGGAUGUUUUCAUUAAUCAAGAACGAAAGUUAGGGGAUCGAAGACGAUCAGAUACCGUCGUAGUCUUAACCAUAAACUAUGCCGACUAGGGAUCGGAUGAUGUUAAUUUUUUAAUGACCCAUUCGGCGCCUU
This 520-nucleotide ribosomal RNA is filed under the name uncultured Glomus. RNAcentral describes it as "SSU rRNA". It matches the Rfam family "Eukaryotic small subunit ribosomal RNA", at positions 569 to 1089 of the family's 1831-position model. Lineage: Eukaryota; Fungi; Glomeromycota; Glomeromycetes; Glomerales; Glomeraceae. The record is from RNAcentral.